RNAcentral lists this long non-coding RNA (209 nucleotides) under Eutrema salsugineum. RNAcentral describes it as "long non-coding RNA (ESAL_LNC000777)". Lineage: Eukaryota; Viridiplantae; Streptophyta; Magnoliopsida; Brassicales; Brassicaceae. The record is from RNAcentral.
UGUUCAGCACAAAUGAAGACCAAUACUGACCGUUCCAGCUCAACAAACAUUUGGGAUAUUUACUCAUCACGUCUAGAGCAUACCACGAAGAAGAAUCAUCCCAAAAGCUUUCCACAUGAAGAAGAUAUUGAAGAUACACUCAGGCAGAUCUUCAAAGGAUCCGAUGGAGACAUACGACCACUUAUUGAAUCCCUCCAACCAGACCAGAA